This 122-nucleotide ribosomal RNA is filed under the name Sebastes rubrivinctus (flag rockfish). Lineage: Eukaryota; Metazoa; Chordata; Actinopteri; Perciformes; Sebastidae. The record is from RNAcentral.
GCUUACGGCCAUACCACCCUGAACACGCCCGAUCUCGUCUGAUCUCGGAAGCUAAGCAGGGUCGGGCCUGGUCAGUACUUGGAUGGGAGACCGCCUGGGAAUACCAGGUGCUGUAAGAUUUU